Molecule: long non-coding RNA, 534 nt
Filed under: Pan troglodytes (chimpanzee)
Lineage: Eukaryota; Metazoa; Chordata; Mammalia; Primates; Hominidae
Description: long non-coding RNA NONPTRT008049
Source: RNAcentral
UGUCUCCAAGCCAGAUUUAAUCACCUGUCUGGAGCAAGGAGAAGAGCCCUGGAAGAGACACAAGAUGGUAUCCAAGCCCCCAGUUGUGUGUUCUCAUUUUGCCCAAGACCUUUGGCCAGAGCAGGGCAUAAAAGAUUCUUUCCAAAAAGUAAUACUGAGAAGCUAUGGAAAAUAUGGACAUGACAAUUUACAAUUAAGAAAAGGCUGUGAAAGUGUGGAUGAGUGUAAGAUGCACAAAAGAGGUUAUGAUGAACUUAAGCAAUGUUUGACAACUACCCCGAGCAAAAUAUUUCAAUGUGAUAAAUAUGUAAAAGUCUUUCAUAAAUUUUCAAGUUCAAAUAGCCAUAAGAUAAGACAUACUGGAAAUAAUUCUUUCAAAUGUAAAGAAUGUGGCAAAUCAUUUUGCAUGCUUUCACACCUAACUAAACAUGAAAGAAAUCAUACUAGAGUGAAUUGUUACAAAUGUGAAGAAUGUGGCAAAGCCUUUAAUGUGCCCUCAAAGCUUAAUAAUCAUAAGAGAAUUCAUACUGGAGA